GUCAGGCUCAUCAACAGAGCCGAUCCCCCACUGACUGACUACAACACUCCACCGGUCACUCCCCUUCACACUCCACAUGUUAAAUAAAUGUUCCUGAUUCCUGAACAAUAAAAUUGUAUUGAUUUGUUGUUGCAGCCCUUAUAUGCCAUCUUUCUGUUUUGUAAAAUAUUGACUAAGUGGCUUAGUAGAAGAGUCGAGGGAAACUGGGGGGAUCAAGGAGGUUGCAAAAGAUGGAUGCUUCCUUGGGGUUAGAGAAGGAACAUGGAACUGUCCUAUAGAACAAGCUUUUGACAGCGGAAACGAGCUUGGUAAGCGAGCAGGUCGUCAGGGUGUUUUUCUGUUUGCUCACAUACCAGCCAGGCGCUGCUUCAGCUCCCACAGGUUCACGCUCCUCAAUGACCCCUGAUGACCUUUGUCGGCAUUUAAGGGAAACGACUUUGCCUACAGAAGAACCUGUGGAUGAAACCCUUUCCCGAGGAUGUAGAUUUAGUCUGUGCUCCGCGACAAGGACACUGAUUACAGUACAUUGGUGCCAAUGAUGGGAAUAGAGGACAUUGACCUUCCAAGACAUUGCGUUGCCAUUAGAUUGCUGAAGUAAAAAGUGAGUUUCUUGUACCCGACAGGGUGACAUGGCCCAUUUAUUGCCCACACUGCCCACGGAAUCUGGGAGUUCUCUUCGACGAGGAUAUGACCUUCAACUCGCAUAUAAAGAAGACUUCAAGGACUGCCCAUUUUCAUCUACGUAACAUAUCAAAAAUCAGGAACUUCCUGUCUCAAAGUGAUGCAGAAAAAUGAGUUAAUGCGUUUGUCACUUCCAGACUGGACUACUGUAAUUCUCUGUUAUCAGGCUGCUCUUGUAAAUCUCUUAAGCCUCUCCAGUUGAUUCAGAAUGCUGCAGCACGUGUAUUAACAAGAACUAAGAAAAGGGAUCAUAUCACUCCUGUAUUAACUUCUCUGCACUGGCUCCCUGUUAAAUCAAGAAUAGAUUUUAAGGUACUUCUCCUCACCUACAAGGCACUUGCUUGUGAGGCACCUUAUCAAGCUCCUCUUUUG
Gasterosteus aculeatus aculeatus (three-spined stickleback) is the source of this 1053-nucleotide long non-coding RNA. Lineage: Eukaryota; Metazoa; Chordata; Actinopteri; Perciformes; Gasterosteidae. The record is from Ensembl.